RNAcentral lists this ribosomal RNA (446 nucleotides) under uncultured bacterium. Its description in RNAcentral is "partial 16S ribosomal RNA". It matches the Rfam family "Bacterial small subunit ribosomal RNA", at positions 338 to 795 of the family's 1533-position model. The record is from RNAcentral.
CCUACGGGAGGCAGCAGUCGAGAAUCAUUCACAAUGGGGGAAACCCUGAUGGUGCGACGCCGCGUGGGGGAAUGAAGGUCUUCGGAUUGUAAACCCCUGUCAUGUGGGAGCAAAUUAAAAAGAUAGUACCACACGAGGAAGAGACGGCUAACUCUGUGCCAGCAGCCGCGGUAAUACAGAGGUCUCAAGCGUUGUUCGGAAUCACUGGGCGUAAAGCGUGCGGAGGCUGUUUCGUAAGUCGGGUGUGAAAGGCGCGGGCUCAACCCGCGGACGGCACAUGAUACUGCGAGACUAGAGUAAUGGAGGGGGAACCGGAAUUCUCGGUGUAGCAGUGAAAUGCGUAGAUAUCGAGAGGAACACUCGUGGCGAAGGCGGGUUCCUGGACAUUAACUGACGCUGAGGCACGAAGGCCAGGGGAGCGAAAGGGAUUAGAUACCCGAGUAGUC